GUGACCUCGAAUCAGGUAGAC
This 21-nucleotide ribosomal RNA is filed under the name Beauveria bassiana. Its description in RNAcentral is "partial 28S ribosomal RNA". Lineage: Eukaryota; Fungi; Ascomycota; Sordariomycetes; Hypocreales; Cordycipitaceae. The record is from RNAcentral.